GGCGUAAAGAGUCCGUAGACUGUAAAGUAAGUUUUUUGUUAAAUUUUAAGACUCAAUCUUAAUCAAGCAAUUAAUACUGCUUUACUUUGAGUUUAAUACAGAAAAGUAGAAUUUUAUACGGUAGGGGUGAAAUCCGCAGAUAUAUAAAGGAAUGCCAAUAGCGAAGGCAACUUUUUGGUAUAAACUGACGUUGAGGGACGAAAGUGUGGGUAGCAAACAGGAUUAGAGACCCUGGUAGUCCACACCGUAAAUUCUGAGUGCUGUAAUUUAAUUGUAAUAUUGUACAAAUAUUAUUUAGAUUUUCAAGCUAACGCAAUAAGCACUCCGCCUGAAGAGUACGAUCGCAAGAUUGAAACUCAAAGGAAUUGACGGGGGUCUAACACUAGUGGUGGAGCAUGUGGUUUAAUGCGAUAAUCCGCGCAAAACCUUACCAAUUCUUGACAUAUUUAAAUUGUUCACAAAUAAACGCAACCGUUUUAAUUGUGUACGUUUUUUUACAGGUGUUGCACGACUGUCGUCAGCUCGUGUCGUGAGAUGUUUGGUUAAGUCCUGAAACGGGCGCAACUCUUACUUUUAAACAAGUUUUUUACGUAUUAAACAAUUUAUUUCUUGUAGAUUUUUUAAACGCUUUAAAAGUACGGUCAACGAUAAGUUGAAGGAAGGUAAGAAUGAAGUCAAGUCAAUGUGACCCUAAUGAAUUGGGCUACACAUGUGCUACAAUGAAAAUUACAAAAAGUGACAAAAAAGAAAUUUUGAGUUAAUCAACAAAAGUUUUCCCAGUUCGGAUUGUAGACUGCAACUCGUCUACAUGAAGCUGGAAUCACUAGUAAUCGCAAAUCAGCACGUUGCGGUGAACAUGUAACUUGGCCUUGUACACACCGCCCGUCACUUGCAAAGAAUUAGUUUCGCUCGAAGGUUUUUAUAAAACCCAUUGAGAGAUUGAUAAUUUGGAUGAAGUCGUAACAAGGUAGCUGUACGGGAACGUGUAGCUG
RNAcentral lists this ribosomal RNA (992 nucleotides) under marine metagenome. RNAcentral's name for it is "bacterial SSU rRNA". It matches the Rfam family "Bacterial small subunit ribosomal RNA", at positions 557 to 1520 of the family's 1533-position model. The record is from RNAcentral.